This 369-nucleotide transfer-messenger RNA is filed under the name Roseospira navarrensis. RNAcentral's name for it is "Alphaproteobacteria transfer-messenger RNA". It matches the Rfam family "Alphaproteobacteria transfer-messenger RNA". Rfam says of the family: Bacterial tmRNA, also known as 10Sa RNA or SsrA, is named for its dual tRNA and mRNA-like properties. Its role is to liberate the mRNA from a stalled ribosome. To accomplish this part of the tmRNA is used as a reading frame that ends in a translation stop signal. Lineage: Bacteria; Pseudomonadati; Pseudomonadota; Alphaproteobacteria; Rhodospirillales; Rhodospirillaceae. The record is from Rfam by way of RNAcentral.
CCGUUUGCAUCGACGCGCGCCCCGUCCUAUAUUCGGAGGUGCCGGUUCGCCGGCUAUGACGCUAAACCCUGCUUGGAAUAAGCGUAGUGGACCCGGGGGCAGUACCCGGCGCCUCCACCAAUGACCAGGGGUCCGCGCCGCGUCGCGGGCCCCGAUCCGGGGGCGAAACAGGAUCGACACGCGUGGUAAAGAAGCAGGUUGCGUUCGGCAUGGCACCACCGUUAUCGGGCCAAACGCAAUAGUUGCCAACGACAACUAUGCUCCGGAAGCUGUCGCCGCGUAAUGCGGUGCCGGUAACCGAUCUAAGCCCCGGCCGGUAGCACGGUCGGGCGGGGUCCGGAGGGCACCUGGCAACAGAAGCCCUCCAUU